Molecule: small nucleolar RNA, 143 nt
Organism: Apodemus sylvaticus (European woodmouse)
Lineage: Eukaryota; Metazoa; Chordata; Mammalia; Rodentia; Muridae
Product: small nucleolar RNA SNORA48
Exons: 1
Source: RefSeq, a predicted model, not a curated record
UCCCCUGGCAAUAGGUAAAGAGACACCUUGUUGUUGUUGGUGGUGUUCUAUCAGCCAAGGGCAGGGCAGAUGGCAGUCCUUUGUUCAUCCUAACUUGAUGCCUGGCUUGGUGGUCACAGCUGUCUUAUGCCUAGGACGCAAAA